This 2428-nucleotide long non-coding RNA is filed under the name Lathyrus oleraceus (garden pea). RNAcentral's name for it is "Pisum sativum (pea) long non-coding RNA (PSAT_LNC019324)". Lineage: Eukaryota; Viridiplantae; Streptophyta; Magnoliopsida; Fabales; Fabaceae. The record is from RNAcentral.
UAAAUACUACUGUUGCAUUAGCUUUACUUACGUCAGUAGCCUAUUUCUAUGCGGGUAUUUCAAAAAAAGGAUUGGCCUAUUUUGGUAAAUACAUCCAACCAACAUUGGAAAAUUAUAAAGUUACCUCAUGGAGAGUUAGCUGCACCCACAAAUGAUAUAAAUACUACUGUUGCAUUAGCUUUACUUACGUCAGUAGCCUAUUUCUAUGCGGGUAUUUCAAAAAAAGGAUUGACCUAUUUUGGUAAAUACAUCCAACCAACGCCAAUCCUUUUACCGAUUAACAUCUUAGAAGAUUUCACAAAACCCUUAUCACUUAGUUUUCGACUUUUCGGAAAUAUAUUAGCGGAUGAAUUAGUAGUUGCUGUUCUUGUUUCGUUAGUACCUUUAGUAGUUCCUAUCCCUGUUAUGUUCCUUGGAUUAUUUACAAGCGGUAUUCAAGCUCUUAUUUUCGCUACUUUAGCUGCGGCGUAUAUAGGUGAAUCCAUGGAAGUGCAUCAUUGACUAGUUAUGAAAAUAGGAUUUUAGACCGCGACAAAGUAUGUAUGGCUCGCGAUAAUCUACUUAAGGAACAGAAAGAUAAAAAUCCAAAGAAAUUUGGAAAAGUUUUCAUAACAAUCAAAAGAUUUCACAAAACCCUUAUCACUUAGUUUUCGACUUUUCGGAAAUAUAUUAGCGGAUGAAUUAGUAGUUGUUGUUCUUGUUUCGUUAGUACCUUUAGUAGUUCCUAUCCCUGUUAUGUUCCUUGGGUUAUUUACAAGCGGUAUUCAAGCUCUUAUUUUCGCUACUUUAGCUGCGGCGUAUAUAGGUGAAUCCAUGGAAGGGCAUCAUUGACUAGUUAUGAAAAUAGGAUUUUAGACCGCGACAAAGUAUGUAUGACUCGCGAUAAUCUACUUAAGGAACAGAAAGAUAAAAAUCCAAAGAAAUUUGGAAAAGUUUUCAUAACAAUCAAAAAGUAUAAAUAAAAUUAAAACAAUUACCAGGGAAUUAAACAAAAAAUAGAGAUUCAGUUCAAAAAAGGGUGAGGGGGUCGAACUAGGCGUAUAUAUAAUCUAAUCGUUAUAAGACAGCUGGGGGAUUUUUUCCAAGAAUGAUUCUCGAAUACGAUUGAAUCGAAGAUACAACGAAUUGGUUUACGACAAAGUAUGUAUGGCUCGCGAUAAUCUACUUAAGGAACAGAAAGAUAAAAAUCCAAAGAAAUUUGGAAAAGUUUUCAUAACAAUCAAAAAGUAUAAAUAAAAUUAAAACAAUUACCAGGGAAUUAAAUAAAAAAUAGAGAUUCAAUUCAAAAAAGGGUGAGGGGGUCGAACUAGGCGUAUAUAUAAUCUAAUCGUUAUAAGACAGCUGGGGGAUUUUUUCCAAGAAUGAUUCUCGAAUACGAUUGAAUCGAAGAUACAAUGAAUUGGUUUACGGUAUGGAACAAACACAUGUAUAUGUCAUAGUAGAUAUUCAUUAGUUAUAGAUGACUAUCUAUCUAAAUUUGUCCUGCUACUACUCUAAAUUUAGGUAGGGAUUCAAAAAAAAAAGCCCACUUCCAUCUCUUGUAAUUGUGAAUUGAAUAUAAAAUGAAAUCAAAGAAAAAGGAAGGUUUAAAAUAAAUGUAAGAUAAGACCAAAAAUUGUCUGUAUUCACAAAAAACUACAAGGGUAGAAACGACAUCUCUUGUAAUUGUGAAUUGAAUAUAAAAUGAAAUCAAAGAAAAAGGAAGGUUUAAAAUAAAUGUAAGAUAAGACCAAAAAUUGUCUGUAUUCACAAAAAACUACAAGGGUAGAAACGAAAAAAGCAAAUAUCGAAAUAAUUGAGAUAAUUCAAUCAAAAUUAUUCCGUUUGAAAUUUUGAAUUACACUUCGACUAGAGAAAGAUAACUAGGAAGAAUGAAAUAAUUAAGUCAUAUAUUUUUUGUUGAUUAUAUUAUUUACUAUUUCUUAAUUUUAUUUGGAAUAGGAGAAACUUAUCAUGAAUCCACUGAUUGCUGCUGCUUCUGUUAUCGCUGCUGGGUUGGCCGUCGGGCUUGCUUCUAUUGGACCUGGAGUUGGUCAAGGCACGGCUGCAGGGCAAGCUGUAGAGGGGAUUGCGAGACAACCGGAAGCAGAGGACAAAAUACGGGGUACUUUAUUACUUAGUUUGGCUUUUAUGGAAGCUUUAACUAUUUAUGGGCUGGUUGUAGCAUUAGCAUCAUAUAUUUUUUGUUGAUUAUAUUAUUAACUAUUUCUUAAUUUUAUUUGGAAUAGGAGAAACUUAUCAUGAAUCCACUGAUUGCUGCUGCUUCUGUUAUCGCUGCUGGGUUGGCCGUCGGGCUUGCGUCUAUUGGACCUGGAGUUGGUCAAGGCACAGCUGCAGGGCAAGCUGUAGAGGGGAUUGCGAGACAACCGGAAGCAGAGGACAAAAUACGGGGUACUUUAUUACUUAGUUUGGCUUUUAUGGAAGCUUU